Molecule: ribosomal RNA, 450 nt
Filed under: uncultured Glomeromycotina
Lineage: Eukaryota; Fungi; Glomeromycota
Description: SSU rRNA
Rfam family: Eukaryotic small subunit ribosomal RNA
Source: RNAcentral
AGCAGCCGCGGUAAUUCCAGCUCCAAUAGCGUAUAUUAAAGUUGUUGCAGUUAAAAAGCUCGUAGUUGAAUUUCGGGGUCUGUCCAUUGGUCGGGCUUCACGGUCCGUACUGGUGUGAUGGGUUCCUACCUUCUGAAUAACCAGCAUGCCAUUUAGUUGGUGCGCCGGGGAAGCAGAGCUAUUACCUUGAAAAAUUAGAGUGCUUAAAGCAGGCUAGUGCUUGAAUAGAUUAGCAUGGAAUAAUAAAAUAGGACGGCAUGGUUCUAUUUUGUUGGUUUCUAGGAUCACCGUAAUGAUUAAUAGGGAUAGUUGGGGGCAUUAGUAUUCAAUUGUCAGAGGUGAAAUUCUUGGAUUUAUUGAAGACUAACUUCUGCGAAAGCAUUUGCCAAGGAUGUUUUCAUUAAUCAAGAACGAAAGUUAGGGGAUCGAAGACGAUCAGAUACCGUCGUA